UUUUUCCCCUCUUCAUUACACUCCACCUCAAUUUCAGAGAACUGAGACGAGUCAUGGCGGCUGCUCUCUGAGAUUUGGAGAUGCAGAGAAGGAAUUCAGGAUUCACAGAGAGAUGGAGAUUCGAGAAGAUUUCGCUGUUGUUGUUGGUCUAGUGAAGAACAGAUCCCAGUUUGGAUCGAUUCUGGGUUCUUGACUGAAGAAUCAGGUAGAAGGAGAAGAGAUCGACGUAAUUCAAGAAAUUGGGGAUGAAUUCUGUAACAAGAAGAGCAGCUAGAAGAUGGGUUUUAAGGGAUUCAAGUCUACAACAGAUGUGGAUGAUUUUCAAGGGUUUGUGAUCGAUUCAGUUAUUAGGGUUUGAGAAUAAAUUGGGGGUUUCUCUCGAUUUGAGUCUGUUGGAGCUACAGGAUGAAUUUGAUGCUGUAAUAAGGUGGAAGUUCUGAUGCUGUGUGAAAUGAUGAUUGCAGGUGUUGUAUGUAGACUAAGUGGAACUCAGUAUUGCAGGGCUUGGUGAACUUGAGUUAGCAGGGAGUUAUAGAGUUGAAAUGGGAUUGCUGGAUUGAAGUUGUAGCUGUUGCAGAUGAGCCUGAGGUUGUUUUGUGGCAGAGAUGCAGAGAAUUAGUUGGAGCUUCUAAAGCUGAGUGCAACUGCAAGAAACUGCAAGGAGGAAGUGAGCUUCAGUUGGUUUGUUGCUGCUAAUUAGAUGUAUGUUUAGGUUUGCAAAGAAGCUGUUAUGAAAUUGCAGGAGCAGUUGAUGGUGGUACUGAAGUGGUGAGCAUUUGGAAUUGAACUGGCUGGCGUGAAUGAGCUGUUGCUGUGCAGGUGGAAUGGAUGGUGAUAAUGUUGCAGUUAAGAACUGUAGAUGUAUUCUUAGGAAUGACAGCUGCGACUGAGCUGAAUUGAAUGAAACGGAUCAGGUGGGAGGCAUUGCAGUGUUGCUGGGUUCAGUUAACUGAGACAAAGAAAGGAUGAUGCUGCUGCUGAUUUGUGCUGGUUUCUGAAGCUGAAUGAGAAAAGAUGUCCGUGAUGCUGUUGCAGAAGGUGUCUCGUUGUUGACUGUCAAAGAGGAGCUGAAACUGGUGGUACAAUGGAAGCUGAUUGUCACAGAGAGUAUGAUGGUAUGCAGCUGAAAUGGUGUUGAAGGCAAGAGAUCAGAGAAAGGAGCGAGAACUGAUGAUAUUGCAGAUGAGCUGAGCUGGUGGUUAUGAGACUCGCAGCUGCUGAGAGAAUGUACGAACUGCAGGCAGUGGUCAUGUUGCAGAAUGGUUGAGAACUGGUGGCAUUUUGUUACAGUGAAGCCAAGGAAGAUUGCAAGGCCGAAAUGGAAUUGUGCAUGGCAGGAUGGGUUGGUUUUGAGAAUUACAGGAAAUGUGCAAAGUUGUGUUGAUGCUGCUGCUAUGUAUGGUGCUGAGAUAUUUGUAGCUGUGAAGAAAUGCAGUUGUGAGAAAUGAAGGUCAUUAUGGCGCAACAUUAGGCGCAGGUCAGUGCAAAUGGCUUAUGCCAUGGCAACUCAAACAAGUCAGCUCAGUUAGAUCACCUGACUAGCUGAUUCGGUUCUGACUCAACCUGACCCGGUGUUGACUCAGUUGACUUUACGAGUUGAUCCAGUUUACCUGAGUUGGUUCGUUUGACCGGUACCCGAGACACUUAUUCCGAUCACCUGAGGCGACUUCUCUGGCCAAUUUCCGGCCAACCUUUGGGACUCCAGAAACUUAUUUUUGGAUGUAUUCUCCGCAUGGGUUUAUCUUACACAUGGGCUUGGUGGACUCUUAUCUAUUAGACCUUUGAAGACUUGAUCUAAGAGAUAUAAAAGGGAGGAUUUCUACAAUUUUGGUAUCACGUAUUUUACUUGGAGCUUUUGGGAGAUAACCGCAGCUAGGGAACUUGUACAACAACAAAAGGCUCUGGCAUGAAGAGGUACCAAUGGCGCUCUGGGUAUACCGAAUUGCUAAAAGAUCAUCCACUGGCACAGCCCCCUACAACCUAGUCUAUGGUGAAGACGACAUUCUACCUACAGAAGUUAUUAUCGCCUCGGUCCGAGUUGUUGCUGCAAGCGACUUGCAAGUCAUAGAUGACAAAAGAUUCCAAGUGCUAGAUACAAUAAAAGAAAAAAGAAGCAUAGUAACUGCUCACGCCCAAAAGUAUCGUGACCGAAUGGCGAGGGCCUACAACCAAAAGGUUAAGCCGAGGAGAUUUGCAGUAGGAGACCUCGUCCUUACCAUCUCUCCACAUGUGCCCGGGAACGCUAGCACCAGAAAGUUUGCUCCGAAUUGAGAAGGACCAUUUCGAGUCAUUGAAGCCGCGAAAAGUGGUUACUACAAGAUCGAGCAUGCCGCAUCAAGGGAAAGCUUAAUGAUAAGAUGAAUGGCUUGUGGCUUAAGACCUUCUAAAUAUAAUGUACGCGUGAUAUGAAUAAAAUGACUAUUGAUUUAAAAAUA
Long non-coding RNA from Papaver somniferum (opium poppy), 2435 nucleotides. RefSeq lists it as uncharacterized. The transcript has 2 exons. Lineage: Eukaryota; Viridiplantae; Streptophyta; Magnoliopsida; Ranunculales; Papaveraceae. The record is from RefSeq and is a predicted model, not a curated record.